RNAcentral lists this ribosomal RNA (470 nucleotides) under uncultured bacterium. RNAcentral's name for it is "bacterial SSU rRNA". It matches the Rfam family "Bacterial small subunit ribosomal RNA", at positions 328 to 794 of the family's 1533-position model. The record is from RNAcentral.
UGGCCAGACUCCUACGGGAGGCAGCAGUGAGGAAUAUUGGUCAAUGGGCGGAAGCCUGAACCAGCCAAGUCGCGUGAGGGAAGAAGGCCCUGCGGGUCGCAGACCUCUUUGGACGGGGAGCAAGGCCGCCGACGUGUCGGCGGAAGGAGAGUACCCGUAGAACAAGCAUCGGCUAACUCCGUGCCAGCAGCCGCGGUAAUACGGAGGAUCCAAGCGUUAUCCGGAUUUAUUGGGUUUAAAGGGUGCGUAGGCGGAUUGAUAAGUUAGAGGUGAAAUGUCCGAGCUUAACUCGGGAACUGCCUCUAAUACUGUUGAUCUAGAGAGUAGAUGCGGUAGGCGGAAUGUAUGGUGUAGCGGUGAAAUGCUUAGAGAUCAUACAGAACACCGAUUGCGAAGGCAGCUUACCAAUCUAUAUCUGACGUUGAGGCACGAAAGCGUGGGGAGCAAACAGGAUUAGAUACCCUCGUACA